RNAcentral lists this ribosomal RNA (870 nucleotides) under Hymenagaricus sp. ZRL185. RNAcentral's name for it is "eukaryotic LSU rRNA". It matches the Rfam family "Eukaryotic large subunit ribosomal RNA", at positions 64 to 921 of the family's 3401-position model. Lineage: Eukaryota; Fungi; Basidiomycota; Agaricomycetes; Agaricales; Agaricaceae. The record is from RNAcentral.
ACUAACAAGGAUUCCCCUAGUAACUGCGAGUGAAGCGGGAAAAGCUCAAAUUUAAAAUCUGGCGGUCUUCGGCCGUCCGAGUUGUAAUCUAGAGAAGUAAUACCCGCGCUGGACCGUGUACAAGUCUCCUGGAACGGGGCGUCAUAGAGGGUGAGAAUCCCGUCUCUGACAUGGACUACCAGUGCGUUGUGGUAUGCUCUCAAAGAGUCGAGUUGUUUGGGAAUGCAGCUCAAAAUGGGUGGUAAAUUCCAUCUAAAGCUAAAUAUUGGCGAGAGACCGAUAGCGAACAAGUACCGUGAGGGAAAGAUGAAAAGAACUUUGGAAAGAGAGUUAAACAGUACGUGAAAUUGCUGAAAGGGAAACGCUUGAAGUCAGUCGCGUUGGCCAGGGAUCAGCCUCGCUCUUGCGUGGUGUACUUUCUGGUUGACGGGUCAGCAUCAAUUUUGACCGCUAGAAAAAGGCCUGGGGAAUGUGGCAGCCACGGCUGUGUUAUAGCCCCUAGUCACAUAUGGCGGUUGGGAUUGAGGAACUCAGCACGCCGAAAGGCCGGGUUUCGACCACGUUCGUGCUUAGGAUGCUGGCAUAAUGGCUUUAAGCGACCCGUCUUGAAACACGGACCAAGGAGUCUAACGUGCCUGCGAGUGUUUGGGUGGAAACCCCAAGCGCGUAAUGAAAGUAAAAGUUGAGAUCCCUGUCGUGGGGAGCAUCGACGCCCGGACCAGAACUUUUGGGACGGAUCCGCGGUGGAGCAUGUACGUUGGGACCCGAAAGAUGGUGAACUAUGCCUGAAUAGGGUGAAGCCAGAGGAAACUCUGGUGGAGGCUCGUAGCGAUUCUGACGUGCAAAUCGAUCGUCAAAUUUGGGUAUAGG